UGAGUAACACGUGGAUGAUCUACCUUCUGGUGAGGAAUAACCCUGGGAAACCGGGGAUAAUACCGCAUAAGCUCGAGAGAGGAAAGCAGCAAUGCGCCGGAAGAGGAGUCCGCGGCCGAUUAGCUAGUUGGCAGGGUAAAAGCCUACCAAGGCGAAGAUCGGUAGCCGGCCUGAGAGGGCACACGGCCACACUGGCACUGAAACACGGGCCAGACUCCCACGGGAGGCAGCAGUGGGGAAUCUUGCACAAUGGGGGAAACCCUGAUGCAGCGACGCCGCGUGAGCGAUGAAGCCCUUCGGGGUGUAAAGCUCUUUCGGCAGGGAAGAUGAUGACGGUACCUGCAGAAGCAGCUGCGGCUAACUACGUGCCAGCAGCCGCGGUAAUACGUAGGCAGCAAGCGUUGUUCGGAGUUACUGGGCGUAAAGGGUGUGUAGGCGGUUGUUUAAGUUUGGUGUGAAAUCUCCCGGCUCAACUGGGAGGGUGCGCCGAAUACUGAAUGACUCGAGUGCGGGAGAGGAGAGUGGAAUUCCUGGUGUAGCGGUGAAAUGCGUAGAUAUCAGGAGGAACACCGGUGGUGUAGACGGCUCUCUGGACCGUAACUGACGCUGAGACACGAAAGCGUGGGUAGCAAACAGGAUUAGAUACCCUGGUAGUCCACGCCCUAAACGAUGCAUAUUUGGUGUGGGCCGUUCAGUCGGUCCGUGCCGGAGCUAACGCGUUAAAUAUGCCGCCUGGGGAGUACAGUCGCAAGGCUGAAACUCAAAGGAAUUGACGGGGGCCCGCACAAGCGGUGGAGCAUGUGGUUCAAU
Molecule: ribosomal RNA, 810 nt
Filed under: uncultured Acidobacteriota bacterium
Lineage: Bacteria; Pseudomonadati; Acidobacteriota
Description: bacterial SSU rRNA
Rfam family: Bacterial small subunit ribosomal RNA
Source: RNAcentral